RNAcentral lists this ribosomal RNA (478 nucleotides) under uncultured bacterium. RNAcentral's name for it is "partial 16S ribosomal RNA". It matches the Rfam family "Bacterial small subunit ribosomal RNA", at positions 28 to 523 of the family's 1533-position model. The record is from RNAcentral.
GACGAACGCUGGCGGCGUGCUUAACACAUGCAAGUCGAACGGUAAGGCCCUUCGGGGUACACGAGUGGCGAACGGGUGAGUAACACGUGGGUGAUCUGCCCUGCACUUCGGGAUAAGCCUGGGAAACUGGGUCUAAUACCGGAUAGGACCACUGCCUGCAUGGGUGGUGGUGGAAAGCUUCUGCGGUGCGGGAUGGGCCCGCGGCCUAUCAGCUUGUUGGUGGGGUGAUGGCCUACCAAGGCGACGACGGGUAGCCGGCCUGAGAGGGUGACCGGCCACACUGGGACUGAGAUACGGCCCAGACUCCUACGGGAGGCAGCAGUGGGGAAUAUUGCACAAUGGGCGCAAGCCUGAUGCAGCGACGCCGCGUGAGGGGUGACGGCCUUCGGGUUGUAAACCUCUUUCAGCACCGACGAAGCGCAAGUGACGGUAGGUGCAGAAGAAGGACCGGCCAACUACGUGCCAGCCGCCGCAGUAA